This 628-nucleotide ribosomal RNA is filed under the name Peroneutypa sp. HUEFS 131248. RNAcentral describes it as "eukaryotic LSU rRNA". It matches the Rfam family "Eukaryotic large subunit ribosomal RNA", at positions 23 to 667 of the family's 3401-position model. The record is from RNAcentral. Lineage: Eukaryota; Fungi; Ascomycota; Sordariomycetes; Xylariales; Diatrypaceae.
ACCCGCUGAACUUAAGCAUAUCAAUAAGCGGAGGAAAAGAAACCAACAGGGAUUGCCUUAGUAACGGCGAGUGAAGCGGCAACAGCUCAAAUUUGAAAUCUGGCCCUCGGGUCCGAGUUGUAAUUUGUAGAGGAUGCUUUUGGUGCGGUGCCUUCUGAGUUCCUUGGAACAGGACGCCUUAGAGGGUGAGAGCCCCGUACAGUUGGACACCAAGCCUCUGUAAAGCUCCUUCGACGAGUCGAGUAGUUUGGGAAUGCUGCUCUAAAUGGGAGGUAAAUUUCUUCUAAAGCUAAAUACUGGCCAGAGACCGAUAGCGCACAAGUAGAGUGAUCGAAAGAUGAAAAGUACUUUGAAAAGAGGGUUAAAUAGCACGUGAAAUUGUUGAAAGGGAAGCGUUUAUGACCAGACCUUCGUCGGGCGGAUCAUCCGGUGUUCUUCACCGGUGCACUUCGCCCGGCCUAGGCCAGCAUCGGUUUUCGUAGGGGGAUAAAAACUUAGGGAAUGUGGCUCUCUUCGAGGGAGUGUUAUAGGCCCUGGGUAUAAUACCCCCUGGCGGGGACCGAGGUUCGCGCUCCCGGCAAGGAUGCCGGCGUAAUGGUCAUCAACGACCCGUCUUGAAACACGGACC